This is a long non-coding RNA of Oreochromis aureus, 1546 nucleotides long. NCBI's taxonomy places the organism in Eukaryota, Metazoa, Chordata, Actinopteri, Cichliformes, Cichlidae. The record is from Ensembl.
CAUUUUUUGACUUUUGUUAAUGGCUGCAAGAACAUAAAUAUAGGACAUAGUACUCCUGCAUUGGCAUUUUCCCCUUCUUCAUGCAAGCCUUUAAAUGAUGAAUUUUUGGUUAUUCUUUGGAACAGUAGCAACUGUCAUGGUUCUGAGUCUGUGACCCACUGUUACUGUCAUGGUCCACGGUGGGUGGCUGAAAUUUCCAUGAGGUUCCUGAACCUACCUGGGAUCCGCCCCUGGACAGGGCCACCUUCUCCAGCUUCUGCACACCUAGAGCCAAUUUUCCUGGAUUCAUUUUGCCUCAAACCCUCAGCUCACGCUCCACCUUCGCACUCAAGAUACCAAACAGUCAUUCUGAGAAUCACUCUGUACCUCACCUGCCUGCUCUCCUGCCAUCACACUCCAUCUGCAGGCCACGGAUCUCAGGUAGCCCUAGCCACGCCAUUCAGCACCCCUGGAUUCUUGGGCCCAGGGAGAGAAUCUCUCUGGGCUGAGGCUUACCUGUUGCCCAUCUGCUCCCAACCUGCUCGUAUGAUGAUUUUCUGGCUUACUGCUUACUCUCUGCUCCUGGGCAUGACUGUUGUAGCUUUCUUCAUGACUUGGAGUGGGUGGAGAAAAUGGUUUAUAAAAAAAAUUAGUUGGUGCAACAAGAAAACUUUUUACUACAAACUGAUUUUGGAAGAAGAGAAAAAAGUUCUGGAGGAGCUUUUGAGGAAAGAAGCAAAUGAGACUUUGACUAAAGAAAUUAUGAGCAACAUAAAAAGGAAAGACUGGGACGGCUGUUUUAAUGUUGCUCAACAAAUGAUCAAUAAAGCAAAACACCAAAAACCAGAAGCAACCAACCAGCAGAUCAACUGGAUCAGUGAGGGGAGCUCCAACAGAGGGGGACAGCAUCAUCAAGCAGCAGCACAUCAGCAGGCACAAAACUAUGAACUUGAUGCAGUGGCAAAAGAAAACACAGACACCAUGCCGUUAUUUAACGAAUCCGCCUGAAAGAACAUCAAGUGACACAGCUCCAGAAACAACGCAAGCGACCACAGACAAGUUAUACACCUUGUCACAGUGGUCGCUUCUUGUCAUCACAGCUGAGAGGGGAUAAAAAGUCUUAAUGUCCAGCCUAAUGUGAUUAAAAAUGAUCAGAGUGCUAAAACAGAACUUUCCCUUUUUCCCUAAAAUAUAAGUUUGAUCGACAUAAUAAUGAGAAAAGUUGUUUGAGUAGUACAAAUGACUGUUCUAAUGUCAUUGUUUCGUUGUGUGUGUGUGUGUGUGUGUGUGUGUGUGUGUGUGUGUGUGUGUGUGUGUGUGUGUUAGUGGCUAGAUCCACUGAUCUCAAUGAAUGCCUGACUUUUAAAUUGAUUUAAUAAAAAGUUGUAUGAAAUAAAUGGUGAAUAACAAACAGUUUUUGAAAGGAUGCAUUUCUCAGUAUUUGAAUUAAAUAGGGAUUAUGUUACAAUGAAUGUUCAUGUGAAAAUGUGCUAAAGACAAAUCUAACUGAAAUAGAAUUACAUAAACUGAGUGAAACAUGAAGUGAAUUAUAUCCAUAUAUGACCGA